RNAcentral lists this ribosomal RNA (449 nucleotides) under uncultured bacterium. RNAcentral's name for it is "partial 16S ribosomal RNA". It matches the Rfam family "Bacterial small subunit ribosomal RNA", at positions 354 to 796 of the family's 1533-position model. The record is from RNAcentral.
GUCGAGAAUCUUUCACAAUGGGGGCAACCCUGAUGGAGCGACGCCGCGUGGAGGAUAAGGUCUUCGGAUUGUAAACUCCUGUCAUGCGUGAACAAGGUUGCUUGGUUAAUACCUGGGCAAAUUGAUGGUAACGCAAGAGGAAGAGACGGCUAACUCUGUGCCAGCAGCCGCGGUAAUACAGAGGUCUCAAGCGUUGUUCGGAAUCACUGGGCGUAAAGGGUGCGUAAGUGGCGUGGUAAGUCAGAUGUGAAAGCCCGGGGCUCAACCUCGGAACUGCAUCCGAUACUGCCAUGCUAGAGUACUGGAGAGGUGACUAGAAUUCUCGGUGUAGCAGUGAAAUGCGUAGAUAUCGAGAGGAAUACCAAAGGCGUAGGCAGGUCACUGGACAGUUACUGACACUGAGGCACGAAGGCCAGGGGAGCGAACGGGAUUAGAUACCCGGGUAGUCC